RNAcentral lists this long non-coding RNA (508 nucleotides) under Pan paniscus (pygmy chimpanzee). RNAcentral describes it as "lncRNA (ENSPPAG00000044900.1)". Lineage: Eukaryota; Metazoa; Chordata; Mammalia; Primates; Hominidae. The record is from RNAcentral.
GUGUAAGUUGGACACCACCUGGUCACACAACUGUAUUGCUGUGCCCUUCUACUCAUGAGCAGUGCUGCCUGGAUGAAACCUUGAAGGGAUUCAAGCAUUUAACUGAGCCAGCUGCCUCCAUCAUGUUCUUAGUGCUUCCUAAGGCCCAAGGGGGUUCAUGAGAGUAGAACUGUGAGCCAACAAUUGAGGGAGGGCUUGAGGGUUUUAGACAGUUGCUUUGAACACUGAUUAGCAGACAAAUAUCUGUGCACAGGGGCAAUGCGGGGCCCCUCGUUGACACAGAACAAGCCUCUGAGGGCGGACCUCCUGAAUAUAUCAGUAUAGGUCAGGGCAGUAUAAUCUGGAGUUCACUGUGGGGGCUCAGCACCUAGAACAGGAAAAAAAAAAAAACCCUGAGGCUGGACUGGUCAUUGGAAUUGGUGUCAGGCAAGAGGGCCCUGCUAUGAGGAGAGAAGAGCUGGGGGCCGGGGACUGGAGCAGGAAGGGACCCAGUCAAGGCCAACACUGA